Molecule: unclassified non-coding RNA, 500 nt
Filed under: Hevea brasiliensis (rubber tree)
Lineage: Eukaryota; Viridiplantae; Streptophyta; Magnoliopsida; Malpighiales; Euphorbiaceae
Source: RNAcentral
AUAAUAAUAAUAAUAAUAAUAAGACUCCUAGGCAGCAAAGAGUACAAAGAUUACGCCUUAGCAGGACGAAAACUGAGUGAAGAACAUCUCAAUUUAACUCAAUAACUAAGUGUAGGCUAUAUUAGCAUAAUCACAAAACUAAAUUAUGUAAAAUAGAGGCUCACCUCAAUACUACAUUCAGAUAAUUGUUUCCAUCCCCGUUUUCACAAAUAUUAGGAAUGCAACUUAGAACAUAACUAAGCCAAAAACUGAUGGCAAGUCUGUUUAUUUUCAGUGAAGUUCAUAAAAGAUAUAGCUAUUGAAUAAGCCUUAGGUCUAAAAUAAAAAAUCAGAACAUGGCAUUUUAACUCAAAACUGAAGAUGAUCGUAUACAUUAAAAUCAGAAGAACUUAUUCAUAGAGAAGCAGAAGAUGAUCAUGUCUAGUAAAAGUUCAAAAACACUGUUAUUGCUGAACUUGCAUUCUUGCAAGAGCAGCUAGAAGAAGAAGAAGAAGAAAAAG